Molecule: long non-coding RNA, 4739 nt
Organism: Hylaeus volcanicus
Lineage: Eukaryota; Metazoa; Arthropoda; Insecta; Hymenoptera; Colletidae
Exons: 3
Source: RefSeq, a predicted model, not a curated record
UUAGUAUUUUCAGUCGUAGUCAUUGAUAAUUACAUUAAAAAUAAUUAUUUGUAAUUACAUCAACAUUUCCAUUUUAAUGUAAAAGAAAGACAAACACUCUUUUACCAUUUUAUUUAUAGUAAUGGAUCGAUGCAAAUUUUAUUACAAUUUAAAAUAAUUAUUUUUUUGUACAUAGUUCGAGAAACAUUCGUGUAAAGACAAUAGGCAUAUUCCAUAUUUAGUAAAAAUUACUAUAAAUUUUCAAUAUUUCAAUAUAUACAUUCGCUACAUACUAAGUAAUUAUAUAAAAUAAUAGGAAAAUAUUGUAAUAUUCCACAUAAGAGAUUUCGAGAUCGAGGCAUUCGAGAGAUUCAAGCUUAACAAAACCUGCCCAUGAAAAAUAGUUUACUGAACGCGUUCUUAAACUUUAAAUAACGCUAUUUUCGCCACGAGAAUUUUUUCUUUCGUAGGGGAUGAUUUAUUUCGAACUCUGAAUUCGGUGACUCAUUUCUACGUGACUUCCGUCUGGGUGGGGCCAACUUGUCUAAUGGUAAAACAAUACAAAAAUCUUUCGAUCUGUACGGAAGUUUUUCUGACUCUAUAAAACUGAAUUAAACUUCCAUCCAUUAUACAUUUAUUUUUGUUCAUUUCGGAAAAAAUAUUUUGUACAUUUUCUCGCUUAUAUUUCAGAUAUUUCUUUUCUAAUUCUUACUAUAGUAAUCUAAGCCAUAUUAAUCUAGUUACUUUCGCGGUGUACGAUUUCUAAUCACCAGGACUUAUAACACAAGACAAACAAAAAUCGUACACUUCUUUCCGUUAUUUUAUUUACUUACUUAGCAGUUGAUAAAAUCAAUAGAAAAUCGUUCUUGUUGUAUUAUUAAUUUGAAAUUAAUUUAUCUCUAUUCAGAUGAAUAUAAUGGGUAAUUUAUUAAUUAAAAUAUUAAAAUAUUAAAUACGAAAGUGUGAAGAAUUUUUUAAAUUAUUCGAUGCUUAAUUUCGAUUUGUCGAUAAACAAUAGAAAAUGAAUAACACUUUAAGGAAAUCAGAAUUUGAAAAUAACUAGUUUAAAAUUUGAAAAUAACCAUGUAGUUUUGUGACAUUUUAAAACAAGCCACGGUAACUCAAUCGAUAACAUCGAAGCUUUAAAUUAUAAACACGAGAUAUCACUGUACAAGGAUAAUCCGAAUCAAGUUGAAUGUACGAAACAAUAAAAAAACAUUACGGGACCCAAGAUUUACGGGAAUCUAAAACCAAGCUCGGAAAUUAUAACUAAAGAUACGAUUUAAUCAAGCCCGUAUAAUACACACUAAAACGAAGUGAUGGAAAUCGUCGAGGGAAACUUAAGCUUCUGUUGCCAAGCAGUCGUACUAACUCACCGGAUAAAGCGAUUGAAAAGAAGAUGUACGUACUUGUUGUAGAAGAACACAGGAAAAAAAGACAGGGAAAAGUAAGUAAGGAAAGUACGAGUCACGAUCACCAAAUUACGUUCGUCACAAUAAAGAUACCCGGCGACUGACUUAACUCGCUGGUUCUCUCCCGAUUGUGUUAAGGAUCCCACAGGACUUCCAACGCAUGCGCAUAUCCGUACUCACCAUAGUACCAGGAAUGUACAUAGAGUGGAAUAUUGGAUAAGUUAUUAGACGAUUUUUUCAUAUGUUUAUUAUAACUGGCAAUUCGAUUAGCGUAUCAUAAUUAGAGCGUUUCGAUGCGCUAGAAUGGAAAUGAUUACAGGUACAACGUUAUGUCGUUGGAUAUUAUAAAAUGGAUGAAAUUAUCUAGUGCGACGAAUGAAGCAAGUUCUAGCACUAUUCCUUGAAAGCACGGCACUGUGCAGGUCUGUCAGGAUAUCGCGCGUGCGCCGUUUUAAUACGGGAAACAGAAAGAAACAACGGUGGGGAACAGCAGACAGGCAUCGAACUGUCGACUUUGUGGAGGGCCGUGAGCUGUGGAUUGACCACCCUACUUUGUAUGGAACCAUGGUGGAUGCAAUAAUUGCAAGUUUUAAUUGAUAAAUAUUUUUCUUAAAUAUAGAAAUAUAGUUUAUGUUACCAAGUGUCUCCAAACAGAGGUUAUAACAGUAAUUGUCAUACCAUAGACAUAACCUAACGGGUACCUUAAUUUCAAACUUAUAUAUUCCAAAGAAAAUUAUAAUAAUUAACGUAUGAGAAAUACUAUUCUAAUUAUCCAACAUGUCAAGUUUCAUUUCUAUAUUUACUAAUUUGAGGAAUCCGUAGGCAUGUUAUCGGAAUUGUUUUAAAUACGUUGUAAGUCACGUAUGAUACGUAUUAUUUAUGAUAUUUAUCAGAAUUAUUUUAAGAUAAACAAACAACUCUCCGAUCUUCGCCAGGAGCGAAAAUUUGCUUUGCGGUAUAACCUAAAUGCAUCUAGCAUCAUCGUUAGGCGAACUGUAACUGAUAGAAAGAAAAGAAGAACGAAAGGAGAAAAAGAGAAGGAACGAGAGAGUUCGUUGGCCGUCAAAGGGAAGUCAGAAGCAUGACUGUAACCGUGCCUGUGAUCGUGAUCUGGACAGCAACCGUGAUCGUGAUUCGUAACCAUGACCGACUUGCGUUUACAUGACACUCUAGGAAAUUGUGUGUAUUGUACUACGAUAUUCUGUGAUAACUAACGCGUAUUACAGUACGCGUCUAUAUAAUCAUGUAUAUACCAUUCCACCAACAAUUUUUGACUUUUUCCUUUGAAGAAUUUUGUUCACAUUAAACUGUCUUGCAGUCUAUGUGGCAAUAAGGGAGACCUGAAAUUAUGAUCAAAUUUUAUAUCGUAGCUGUAACCUUUUUCAGAUCCUCGUAGACGUUUCAAAAUUCUUGCUUUCAUCUUUAUAAUAGUUUAAACGUCCACUGUUAGGCAAUGACACUUUAUGUGCAACGCGAAAGUAUCAUUGCGAAGUAGUUUUACGUCUACGAGACUGAAUGAGUAUAUUUUAGCAAAUUCUAGUAGUAGAUGAUCUAUCCAUGUAUGCGUCAUACGUCAAAAUGUAAAAUCAAAUGUAAAAUUGCAUGCGACAAAAUCUACUAAAUGUUGGAUGUUUUGAUGUUGGUCAUGUUUUGUUGAAUGUUUAGAUACUUCUCGAAAACAACGAAAUAAUCGGCGGGUACUUUCAACAGCUUCUUUCCUAAAUAAAUUUUUAGAUAAUUUGCGUAACAAAUUCAUUAAAUUCUAUACGUGCUGUACAUCGCGGUGGGUUCAGUGCACGAUCGUGCAUGAUGUGCAUGAUCAUCAAUGAUCAUGCACAAUCACGAUGAGAGCUGGAGUGCACCUUGAUUAUAACCUGUGAUGCCAGUGCUGCUUCCAGCUAGCACAUGCGCGUUGAAAAACUUGAAGGCACAGUAUUGUAGCUACAAGAAACGAUGCGUAGUCCCAAUUCUUUUAUGCUUUUAUUAUUUCUUAGGGCGCCACUACUGUGGUCAUAUUAGACACUAUACUCUUACAGAAAACAGUGCGCAUGCGUCAGUUGAAAGCAGCUCAGCAUCACAGCCUUCGACUAUACAGUACUAUGUGGUUAAAGGUUCGCAGAAACUUCGAGAUGACAACCGAAUCGACAUACAGGCUUAACAGGCUAGUAUAGGUUGCUGCAUGAAAGGGGCAUUCCUGCACCUACGAGAUGGCAACCGAAUCGACCACCAUGCCAGUAUAGGUUGCCGCGUAACAGGGGCUCUCUGGCGCCUACGAGAUGACAACCGAUCCGACAAAUCGGCUAGUUCGGUUGCCGCAUAUCAGGAGUACACCUGGCGCCUACGAGACGGCAAACGGACCGACCACAUGUCAGCAUUGGUUGCCGCGUAACAGGGGCAUCUCUGCGCAUCUCUUCGCAUAUCAUGUUCUCCUGAUACAAAAGGUAAGUAUUGAGAUUCAAUUAAAAGUUAUGACACCUCUUCAAAUAUCAUAUUCUCCUGAUACAAAAGGUAAGUUUCGAGACAGAAUUAAAAAUUAUGAAUCCUCCUCGACCAUCACGUUCUCCUGAUACAAAAGGUAAGUAUCGAGAUUCAAUUAAAAGUUAUGACAACUCUUAAAAUAUCAUAUUCUCCUGAUACAAAAGGUAAGUAUCGAGAUUCAAAUAAAAGUUAUGACACCUCUUCGCAUAUCAUGUUCUCCUGAUACCAGGAGUAAACUUUUGACCAAAAUUCGAUACGUACCAAAAAUUCCUCGUGCCAUCUCCUCGCAUAUCAUGUGCUCCUGAUACCCGGAGUAAAAAUCCGUCGUUUCCCGUCACAAAUCUGAGAGGAGCGAUUUGCAACAUUGUUGAAGUUUGGAGAGGAGCGAUUUGCAACAUUGUUGAAGUUUGGAGAGGAGCGAUUUGCAACAUUGUCAAAGGUUUGAGAGGAGCCAUUUGCAACAUUGUUGACUUUUCCAAAAUGCGAAAUUGGCCAGAAUCACGAAAUGUACCGAAAAUGUGCCCCUUGAAUUAGGCAACCCGUACUGACAGACAUGUCGGACCGGUUGCCUGUCCGUAGGCGCAAACGGUGCCAUCUCUUGGCAUAUCAUGUGCUCCUGAUACCAAAAUCCAAAAUCGGCCAGAAGAAGGAUUUUACAUUUUUGUAUUAGGAGAACACGAUACGUGAAGAGGUGGCGUAACUUUUAAUCGAAUCUCUAUACUUACCUUUUGUAUCAGGAGAACGUGAUGAUCGAGGAGAUUUCAUAAUUUUUACUUAUGUCUCGAAACUUACCUUUUGUAUCACGAGAACAUGAUAUGCGAAGAGGUGAUAUAACUUUUAAUUGGAUCCCUAUACUUACCUUUUGUAUCA